AACGAACGCUGGCGGCGUGCCUAACACAUGCAAGUCGAGCGCGAAAAGGGCAACCUGAGUAGAGCGGCGCACGGGUGCGUAACACGUGGGUAAUCUGCCUUAGAGUCGAGGAUAACCUUCCGAAAGGUUGGCUAAUACUCGGUAAGCUUACGGUGUCUACGGACGCUGUGGGAAAAGUAGGCCUCUGUUUACAAGCUUACGCUCUGAGAUGAGCCCGCGGCCCAUCAGCUAGUUGGCGGUGUAACGGACCACCAAGGCAACGACGGGUAGCUGUUCUGAGAGAACGAUCAGCCACACUGGAACUGAGACACGGUCCAGACUCAUACGGGAGGCAGCAGUGGGGAAUUUUCCACAAUGGGCAAAAGCCUGAUGGAGCAACGCCGGGUGUGUGAUGAAGGUUUUCGGAUGGUAAAGGACUUUCGACUGGGACGAAAAACCUUUGGCUAACAUCCAGGGGCCUGACGGUACCAGGAGAAGAAUCACCGGCUAACUCUGUGCCAGCAGCCGCAGUAA
Molecule: ribosomal RNA, 513 nt
Filed under: uncultured bacterium
Lineage: Bacteria
Description: partial 16S ribosomal RNA
Rfam family: Bacterial small subunit ribosomal RNA
Source: RNAcentral